UGGUUCUGGCAUCGAUGAAGAACGCAGCGAAAUGCGAUAAGUAAUGUGAAUUGCAGAAUUCAGUGAAUCAUCGAAUCUUUGAACGCACAUUGCGCCCAUUAGUAUUCUAGUGGGCAUGCCUGUUCGAGCGUCAUUUCAACCCUUAAGCUUAGCUUAGUGUUGGGAAUCUACUCUCGGGUUGUCCUACCCUGUAGCGACUUCCCCUGUAGCUCCUAAAAAUCAACGGCGGAAUAAUUAUAUCCUCUGAACGUAGUAAUUAUUUUUCUCGUUUUGGUUAGGGUUAAUCAUUCUCGCCGCUAAACCACCUAUAUUUUCAUGGUUGACCUCGGAUCAGGUAGGAAUACCCGCUGA
This 351-nucleotide unclassified non-coding RNA is filed under the name uncultured fungus. RNAcentral's name for it is "partial contains 5.8S ribosomal RNA and internal transcribed spacer 2". The stretch from base 1 to 133 matches the Rfam family "5.8S ribosomal RNA", at positions 22 to 154 of the family's 154-position model. Lineage: Eukaryota; Fungi. The record is from RNAcentral.